GGUUUGAUUAUGGCUCAGAUUGAACGCGCUGGCGGAUGUUUUACACAUGCAAGUCGAACGGCAGCACGGACUUCGGUCUGGUGGCGAGUGGCGAACGGGUGAGUAAUGUAUCGGAACGUGCCUAGUAGUGGAGAUAAUCUUACGCGAAAGCGGAAGCAAUACUGCAUACGCCCUUCGGGAAAGCGGGGACCUUCGGGGCCUCGCACGUCGUCAGAGCGGCCGAUAUCGGAUUAGCUAGUUGGUGGGGUAACGGCCCACCAAGGCGACGAUCCGUGUGCUGGCUUGAGAGGACGACCAGCCACACUGGGACUGAGACACGGCCCAGACUCCAGGAGGCAGCAGGGGGAAUUUUGAUAACGGGGAAACCCUGAUCCAGCCAUCCCGCGUGUGCGAUGAAGGCUCGGGUUGUAAAGCACUUUUGGCAGGAGAAAGAACGGCACGGAUACACCCCGUGCAACUGACGGUACCUAAGAAUAAGCACCGGCUAACUACGUGCCAGCAGCCGCGGUAAUACGUAGGUGCAAGCGUUAAUCGGAAUUACUGGGCGCAAAGUGUGGCAGGCGGUUCGGAAAGAAAGAUGAAAUCCCAGAGCUUAACUUGGAACUGUAUUUUUAACUACCGAGCUAGAGUGUGUCAGAGGGAGGUGGAAUUCCGCGUGUAGCAGUGAAAUGCAGAUAUGCGGAGGAACACCGAUGGCGAAGCGUAGCCUUCCUGAUAACACUGACGCUCAUGCACGAAAGCGUGGGGAGCAAACAGGAUUAGAUACCCUGUAGUUCCAUGCCCAAACGAUGUCAACUAGCUGUUGGGGCCUUCGGGCCUUGGUGGCGCGUAGCGAACGGCAGUGAAGUUGACCGCCCGGGGAGUACGGUCGCAAGAUUAAAAUCAAAGGAAUUGACGGGACCUGCACAAGCGUGAGCGAUGUGAUUAAUUCGAUGCAAUGCGAAAAACCUACCUACUCCUGAUAUGCGGUUCUGAAUCCUGAAGAGAUUUGGGGAGUGCUCGCAAGAGGCAACCAACACAGGUGCUGUACGGCUGUCGUCAGCUCGUGUCGAGAUGUUGUGUUGUCCUGCACUGAGCAACCCUUGGCCGCUGCUAUUAAAGGGCACUCUAAUGAGACUGCCGGUGACAACCGGAGGAAGGUGGGGAUGACGUCAAGUCCUCAUGGCCCUUAUGGGUAGGGCUUCACGCCAUAAUGGACGGGACAGAGGGUCGCCAACCUGCGAGGGGAGCCAAUCCAGAAACCCUGACUGGUCCGAUCGUAGUCUGCAACUCGACUGCGUGAAGUCGGAAUCGCCAGUAAUCGCGGUGACCGCAUGUCGCGUAAUGCUACGUUCCUGGUCUGUACACACCGCCCGGGUCGACCAUGUGGAGUGGGUUUUACCAGAAGUAGUUAGGCCUAACCGUAAGGAGGGCGAUUACCACGGUAGGAUUCAGAUCAGUGAAGUCGUAAUAAGGCAG
RNAcentral lists this ribosomal RNA (1458 nucleotides) under uncultured Bordetella sp. Its description in RNAcentral is "partial 16S-23S ribosomal RNA intergenic spacer". It matches the Rfam family "Bacterial small subunit ribosomal RNA". Lineage: Bacteria; Pseudomonadati; Pseudomonadota; Betaproteobacteria; Burkholderiales; Alcaligenaceae. The record is from RNAcentral.